Chenopodium quinoa (quinoa) is the source of this 1066-nucleotide long non-coding RNA. RefSeq lists it as uncharacterized. The transcript has 5 exons. NCBI's taxonomy places the organism in Eukaryota, Viridiplantae, Streptophyta, Magnoliopsida, Caryophyllales, Amaranthaceae. The record is from RefSeq and is a predicted model, not a curated record.
UUUUUUAUUAAUCUGUUAUUGACUAUUAUUUUGUUGUUGAUUUUUAGUUUAAGUGAGGUUGGAUCUUGAUGUUUGAUUAUUUUGCGCUUCAUUUGAAAUUCAGAUGAAAUUGCGUGAGUUUGUUUGUUGAGAGUAUAGUAUGUGCUUGAAAUUUGGAGUAAGUUUUGUAAAUAUUGAUUAGAUUUUUGUGACUGCUGUUGUUGCGGGAGCAGUUGUGGCUCACUCCAUGCUGCAGUUUCUAAUUAGUGUGUCGAGGUUGUGAAAGAAAGCUAUUAUCAUUCCCACUCAGAACUAUGCGUGGGUAAUCUAUGCUGGUAAUCAGAUCUGGCUUUGAACUCUUGUGUGAGCUGUAUAAGCUGCAUCGCGUGACAAGUCUUAUGCUGUGUUAAAGGUGGCUUUUUUGCAUCAUGUACACAACUAUGCUCUCACUACGUAUGGCCCUGCUGCUCUUGGUGUUGCUGGUGCGGCUGUAGUUCAUGCAGUAGAGUUACUUCCAGGUAUUGAAGUGGGAAGAUGUAGGAGCAUGCAGAAACGUAGAAAAGCCAAAGAAGGGUGAAAUCUGUGUGAAAAAUAAAGUAAUUGAGCUUCAUUUUGUUGAUUUUUUACUUCAGCAAGGGAGUUUAUAAGGUUCCAAUAUUAAAUGUCUUAUACUCCAGGAUUCAAAUAAGCAUUAAUGAUAAAAGUGGAAUAUGCUUGUUGACGUGGACUAUUGCAUAGCAAAAGCAAUCAUGCUUGGGAAAAAGGCACAAGAUGGUAAAAUUAUCUAAACGAUGGAGAAGAAAGCAGCACAAUGAAGAUGGAGAAGAUAAAACUGUCAAAAAAAGUUUUGUAAGUAGUUGAAGCUGAGAGGCCGCUAUCAGAAUGGAGCCUAGAAAACAGAAUGCCUGAAUUGAUCAUAUGAGUGUGCUGUGCAUACAUCAUGGCAAGACUUAAUGGGACAGAACACUCAAUGAUUUAAUUUAGAUAUUUUUGUCUUAGUUUAAUUAGUGACAUGUAGUUUUGUAAUUUUCCCUAAGGGUAACAAUGUACAAAUCCUCAGUUUAUAUUAAUAAAAUUUUGAUUUAAU